UGAGAUGGUGGGUGGGAGGGAGGGAGGCCAGACCCCUUCAGAGCUGGGGAAGACGGCAGCUUUCAGGGUUGGGGAGGGUUUGUGCUUCACAGGGUUGGUUUCACGGUACCCUGGAGAGUUACACUCAUGGUGCGUUUUAGUCUUUGUGCUUUGAACACAGCAUGAUUCCUUUUGGCCCUCCCAUUUAAAAAGUUUAGAUAUGUUAAGGAAGAAAAAUGAGAUGAUUAUUGUGGCUUUGCCUAGGCGGGCAGGCUUAAGAGACUGACCUGUGCUCGUCUGUGCUGUUGAAGACAGAGGACUGGCAACCUCAGAGCAUCUGUCUGUCUGUCUGUCCGUAUGUCACAACCCAAGGGAAAUGAUGGUCCCUGGGCCCGAGCCACACUCACAUUGCCAAUGAAGACGCCCUGCUGUGCCACAGAACUGUGCAUGGGUGUCACCGUAGUGGUCCACAUCCCUGGAGAGGAAGGGUGGAAGGAGGUGGGGAGGGUCGAAGUUAGGCAAAAUGAAAUGAAGAGAAGGGAGAGGAGGGUGUUUGAAGAGGGGGCCAGAAACCCAGUUUCCACUUAGGAAGAACUCCUGGCGCUAAAUAACCAGAGGGCAGGAAGGGCAAGGAAGAAUUAUUAUAACUCAGUUUUUUCUCAGGCCUGAGAUUCUUGAGAAAAAAGGCCAAGCCUUUGCCCAGUGCUGGACACCAAGCUAAGUCCUUCUUUCUUGAGGCCCCCUGGCCUCCAGCUCCCUGUUGGUUGGGGGGCUUCCAAGGGCAAAUUGAGCCAUGCCCCCAACCCAGCUGGAGGUGGGAGGGACAGUGGGUGUCCCAGCUGGAUCCCUGUGGAUAUUCCCACUCCCACGGGAAAUGUGUCCUUCCACUUUCUGAGAUAAGCUGCCGAGGUCCCUCCUGGUCUGGAUGGAGGGAGGGAGUUGGUGGGGAAGGAGGUGGCAGCAAAAUAUGGACGAGAUCAUGGCCUGCAGCCUUGGGGAGUGGCGGAGUUCCAGGCACUGCUACCAGAGAGGUCAGGCCCGGGAGCUCCCCGGGUCCCCAAGCCCAGGAUGCCAGCAGCUGGGACAUGAAGAGAGUGGGGAGCCUGGCUGUCCUGCCUCCCCACCUGUCAGAGUAGAUAGGGUUCCUCCUCCCCCGCUUGUGUGUUUCCCAUUUUGGACUCUUACUCCCACCCCCAAAAGAUGUUUUUGGUUUCCAGAUCAGCCCGAUUUCAUCUGGAUACCAGGUGAGGAAUGGGGAUGGUGGUGGGAAGCAACAGAUACCUUAGUUUGCCUCAGGCCUGCAAGUCUUCCCACCCAAGCCCACGGCCCUCCCAGUGUCCUCGGGUCUAAUUGAUUGGUGGUCAGAGGCGCGCUCUGCGGUUGUCUGUGGGUUGGGGCUCCCUUCUCCAUUCUGAACAUUCCCGUGCUUGUGCGGGCGGCGGGUUGGGGGGAGUCUGUUUAUGGUUCUCCGCCGGGGGCCACGACCACCAACCAUGGGUGUAGAAGCAGCAGAACAGAUGGGUUAGUUCAGGGCCUUUGGGGCGGCUGGAGGAGGGUCUUUCACCCUGGGAAGCUGGAUCCCUUUCUAGGAAGGCUGGAGACCCUCUCUCAGGGGACAGCUGAGGGAAUUGUUCUGAGAGGGAGGAGAGGAAGACAUCUGUGCUCGGGGCCCUGACUGUGGGAGGACGGACAGAACCCCAGGCACAGGGAGCGGGAACUUCCUUUGAGCAUCUCAGCAGCUGCUCCCAGGAAGGGUUGGCUGCAUGGCACCCUCUGCGUGCUCAGCCCAGGCUGCGGGAAGAGAAGCAC
Molecule: long non-coding RNA, 1788 nt
Organism: Equus asinus (donkey)
Lineage: Eukaryota; Metazoa; Chordata; Mammalia; Perissodactyla; Equidae
Source: Ensembl